This 1071-nucleotide ribosomal RNA is filed under the name Triticum aestivum (bread wheat). RNAcentral describes it as "partial small subunit ribosomal RNA". The record is from RNAcentral. Lineage: Eukaryota; Viridiplantae; Streptophyta; Magnoliopsida; Poales; Poaceae.
AUGGCGGCGCAGGAGCAGUGGUACAUCUUGUACGCUGUUCCGGAUGUGUCGGAAGAUUUGAUGAAGACCCAGAAAUUCCCCAACGCGACGUUCUCCUUCAACAAGGUUCCGCUCCCUUCCCGCCUAUUCGUGGAGAGUAGCGUCGCCAGCCCCACCGGAGAGUACCCCUACAUCGCGGCCGCCGACCGCAGCGGCCACCUUCUGCUAUGCGGUUACACCUCGUUCGGGCUCACCUUGUACAUCUGCGACCCGUUUUUCCCAGGGACGACGGGCAUCUUCCCCCACGACGGCGGCUUCAACUGCCGCCACUGCGUCGGCCUCAUCCGCAAUCACGACCGCAGGCUUCUCAUGGUGGCCGAUCUCAACCCGUGCUUUUUCGAACAAGUCGUCUUCUUCACGCUCUUCUGCACGGUCGACUUGUACUCGUGGGUCGAGAAGGAGCCCGACUGCUCCAAAAUCUUGGACAAACGACCGUGGCGCGGUGAUGGCGUUCUCACUCAUCAAGAGGCGCAAUGGAAUCCGACGCACCGAGUGCGGCUGGCUGAGAUCUGGAACCAUGAGACCUACAAAAGGACGCCGCUGCGCCGGGACGUGAUCCCCAUUGUGGCGCUCGUCAACCCGAUCAAGGCACACGAGGUCUACUUCUUCCUCGACAAGCACAUCUUCUCUGUCAACCUGCACAACACUAGUGUGGUGCAGUAUGACAAGUUUGAAGAUUUGGGGAUGCCGGACCUCUCCUCCCGCCUGCUCCAUGCUUGGCAGCUUCCACCGGAGCUCACCGAAUAUCAUCCCUUGCCUGGAACCGAUGUGUUGGGUGCCACGGGGGUUUAUUUCCUGAAUCAAUAUGACUCAGUGGAGGAUUUCCAUGAGGAAAUGAUUGCUGCCACAGACAGGUGGUGUCCCGAAUUGCAUGAGAUGGGUCUGGAGGAACUUGAAGAUGGAGAUGAUGAUGCCUCUAAGAUGAGUGAGGAUCUUGAAGGGGAUGGUGAUGACUCUGAGACGAGCGGGGAUCUUGAAGAUGACUCCGAGAUCAAUGAGGAAGAUGUCGAAGAGGACGGAGAUGAAGACUGA